Molecule: long non-coding RNA, 772 nt
Organism: Carya illinoinensis
Lineage: Eukaryota; Viridiplantae; Streptophyta; Magnoliopsida; Fagales; Juglandaceae
Exons: 2
Source: RefSeq, a predicted model, not a curated record
AAUUUUAAGCUACAGUAUUUUCAUCUCUUUUUUCAUCUUUGAAAAGUCCUGUUGCAUGUCCAAAAUCUUUUUUUAUUAUUUCGUCUCCUCUCUCCCGCGGUCCUCUUCCCUCCCGCGUAUCACGAUUCACCUCCUCACUUCUCCCAGUUUUUUUUCUUCUUUCUCUUCUUCUUCCGUCUCCCGUGUCUCUCCCUUCUUGCUUUUCUUCUAUUUUUUUUUUCUCUUCUUUCUCUUCUUCUUCCCCCUUUCUCGCACGCAGCUCUUCUCUUUCAUCUUCUCUCGAGCAUGGCACCGCACGGCUUCACUCCAACGCCGAUCGCCCAACAACACGAAUUGUCAUGGUGCAAUGGAUGUGGUCAUGAUCGAUGCAGUUGUACCUGCUUCAGUAACUAAUGUGUAUCUAAAUCAAUUUCAUUGGAUUGUCAAAAAUGUCUUGUAUGUCUGUGAUUACGAUAUGAAAUUCACAUUUGUAUACGUCGGGUGGGAGGAUACAGCCCAUGAAGCUCGCAUUUUAAUCGAUGCAUUAAGGCUUCCUGGGAACAAUUUUCCAUGGCAUCAAAACAGUAAGUUGUACACGUUAUUUAAUUUGUAUCUUCCAAUUUUGUUGUAAUUUCUAUAUUCCAUAGUUAUAAAAGAUUAAUAUUCUACUAAAUUCUCAAGUUAUUAUUAUUUAGUAGAUUUUGUAUUUCUCUGUAUUAAGGAAUUGAUGCCGCCGCAUCCAAGGGUGAGGUACCACAUAUCAGAAUGUUAUGACAAUCAUACAUUUGAAGGA